RNAcentral lists this ribosomal RNA (253 nucleotides) under uncultured bacterium. RNAcentral describes it as "partial 16S ribosomal RNA". It matches the Rfam family "Bacterial small subunit ribosomal RNA", at positions 524 to 776 of the family's 1533-position model. The record is from RNAcentral.
UACGAAGGGGGCUAGCGUUGUUCGGAAUUACUGGGCGUAAAGCGAACGUAGGCGGUGUUCCAUGUCAGAGGUGAAAGCCUGGGGCUCAACUCCAGAAUUGCCUUUGAAACGGGGACGCUUGAGUCCGAGAGAGGAUGGCGGAAUUCCUAGUGUAGAGGUGAAAUUCGUAGAUAUUAGGAAGAACACCGGUGGCGAAGGCGGCCAUCUGGCUCGGUACUGACGCUCAUGCACGAAAGCGUGGGGAGCAAACAGG